AUUGAACGCUGGCGGCAUGCCUUACACAUGCAAGUCGAACGGCAGCGGGGGAGAAGCUUGCUUUUCCUGCCGGCGAGUGGCGAACGGGUGAGUAAUACAUCGGAACGUGCCCUGUAGUGGGGGAUAACUAGUCGAAAGAUUAGCUAAUACCGCAUACGACCUGAGGGUGAAAGUGGCGGACCGCAAGGCCUCAUGCUAUAGGAGCGCCCGAUGUCUGAUUAGCUAGUUGGUGGGGUAAAGGCCUACCAAGGCGACGAUCAGUAGCUGGUCUGAGAGGACGAUCAGCCACACUGGGGCUGAGACACGGCCCAGACUCCUACGGGAGGCAGCAGUGGGGAAUUUUGGACAAUGGGCGAAAGCCUGAUCCAGCAAUGCCGCGUGUGUGAAGAAGGCCUUCGGGUUGUAAAGCACUUUUGUCCGGAAAGAAAUGGCUCUGGUUAAUACCUGGGGUCGAUGACGGUACCGGAAGAAUAAGGACCGGCUAACUACGUGCCAGCCGCCGCGGUAA
Molecule: ribosomal RNA, 508 nt
Filed under: uncultured bacterium
Lineage: Bacteria
Description: partial 16S ribosomal RNA
Rfam family: Bacterial small subunit ribosomal RNA
Source: RNAcentral